This 468-nucleotide ribosomal RNA is filed under the name uncultured bacterium. RNAcentral's name for it is "partial 16S ribosomal RNA". It matches the Rfam family "Bacterial small subunit ribosomal RNA", at positions 28 to 507 of the family's 1533-position model. The record is from RNAcentral.
GACGAACGCUGGCGGCGUGCUUAACACAUGCAGGUCGAACGGAAAGGCCCUGCUUUUGUGGGGUGCUCGAGUGGCGAACGGGUGAGUAACACGUGAGUAACCUGCCCUUGACUUUGGGAUAACUUCAGGAAACUGGGGCUAAUACCGGAUAGGAGCUCCUGCUGCAUGGUGGGGGUUGGAAAGUUUCGGCGGUUGGGGAUGGACUCGCGGCUUAUCAGCUUGUUGGUGGGGUAGUGGCUUACCAAGGCUUUGACGGGUAGCCGGCCUGAGAGGGUGACCGGCCACAUUGGGACUGAGAUACGGCCCAGACUCCUACGGGAGGCAGCAGUGGGUAAUAUUGCACAAUGGGCGGAAGCCUGAUGCAGCAACGCCGCGUGCGGGAUGACGGCCUUCGGGUUGUAAACCGCUUUCGCCUGUGACGAAGCGUGAGUGACGGUAAUGGGUAAAGAAGCACCGGCUAACUACGUG